GACCCAAACGCUACAUCUUACUGCAGGAUCCUCACGCUCUCUGCGGCACCCAGAGAAGCCGGGGAAGGAGGGAGAGAGGGAGGGAGUGAGGGCUAUUUAUAGCACGAUUUGAUUUCAAAAAGAAAAGAGAGAUGUGGAAACAUGGUGGUUCUCAGGGCAGCCGCCACCACUUUGAGAUUCGAGCCCUCUGCGAAGAUAACGCCUUCAACCCCGCUCAAUUAUUUAAGCCAUCAGGGAGCUUGUUCCGACUAAAGAGGGUGCUUCAUUGUGCGAGUGCGUUUAGAUUGUACAACGUUAAUAAUGACAACAAGACCCCCCGCCCCACCCUACUGCCUCUCCGUCUGUCUUCGCUCUCAGGGGUGAAGCUUGAUUAGUGCACAUGCUAAUUUGCCGCCAACAUCAGUGGCUGUCAGUCCCCCUACACCCCUAACACUCUCUCCACCCCCUCAACAUCCCUCUCCGCUUCCAUUUUCUUCUCCUUCUUUACAGAUUUAGGUCAGACACCCCACAGCUUGAAAAGAAAGGUGGAUGAAUGCCGCUGCAUCGAGGGGGGCUGCAGGAAGAGUCACUCAGAGGAGUGACAGAGCUGAUCAGAGAGAGGUUCACCUACAGGGAUAAUGAGAGGAUCGAGCGGAGGAUGAGAAAGGGAGCAGAGCAACAGGAAUCAAGUUUUUGGAAUCAAGCCACAAAGAUUCAAUUUCAAACAUGAGGUCUUUUAAAACAUACCUGCAGACAAAGUAAACAUCACACCACCACACACGUGGCAAGCGCAACAACGAGCCAAGUUCCACCCCUGGCCUGCAGUGACCCGUUCCUGCUGGGCUUCCCUCCCUUUCUCCGAUUCAUCCUACAUGUGGGCCAUCCUUUCUUUCUUGUACUAUUUCCCUUUGUUUUUAACUUUCUCUACCCCUUGUCGCACGUCAAACACACAGAGUCUCUUCCUGCACCCAUCCGACAGGAACGUUCGGUAUGGGACAGCAGGACAAGAUGGCACCACAGGGGUGUAACCAUUAAGGGCACGAAACGCCUUUGCUUUUUUUGCCAAGCAGCACACAAAUGCUCGCAGGCUUUUGAUUUCUGAUAGGCCGGAGAAAUGCCUGUGCGUCAGCACUCUUGAAAUGAAGUGCAGAUUCAGCUCUCUGCAGGGACUGCGCUUUCAGAGGACAGAACCUGAAACACAGCACAGGUUAAGAGAGUAUUCUAGGAACCAUCGAGACUGGGAUAAAAAGGACUAUUGUUCUGCACUUGAAUUCGCAUUUUUCAUCACUUUUUGAAGCUUGAAUGUGUGUUUUCUGCAUCACUAGCAGCACCAAAUGGAAUGAACAACUCUGGCUCAAAGGUGUGAGUUUGCAACAGGACUACCUGUUUAUCCAAACAAUGGAAGGCAAGUAGAGCUUUUGGGAAAAUUAUUUUCACAAUCCUUUUUGGUGCUGCUAGUGUCACAGAAAUCAAGUGUUAUUGGUAUUGGUAAUUAAAUAUAAUUGGCAUUAUUU
Long non-coding RNA from Cyprinus carpio (common carp), 1493 nucleotides. RefSeq lists it as uncharacterized. The record is from RefSeq and is a predicted model, not a curated record. Lineage: Eukaryota; Metazoa; Chordata; Actinopteri; Cypriniformes; Cyprinidae.